AUUUUAUUUGACCCUCGAUGGCCGUCUGCAGCGAAUAAGUGCAGGUCUCCGAGCGUGAUUUUAACCUUUUUUGCACAGCAGUCUCUGCAAUUAGCUCACCGACCUUCAACUUUGCUGUAAACCUUUUGGUUUUCCUACUUACUCUUCUUCUGUGGAGUUAUCCUCCUACAAUUCCCCUCCCCCUCGUCUUUCUCUUACCUCCUACUUCUCUUUCUUGUAAUGAAACUCUUCACUUUUAGGAGACCUGGGCAGUCCUGUCAGGCAGCAGCGAUUCCGACCCGCCAAGUCUCGGCCUCCACAUUAACCAUAGGAUGUUGACUCUAGAACCUGGACCCACCCAGCGCGUCCUUUCUUAUCCCCGAGUGGAUGGAUGGAUGGAUGGAUGAGAUUUCCACUGUGUGAGCUGUAGGACACAUUUAUCAUGCAAUGUGACCUCUGCUUCUGCGCCUUCAUUGGCCUACUCAAAGUGAAGACAAUGAGGAUGAGGACUUUAUGAUGAUCCACUUUCACUUAAUGAACAAGAAAUGAUGAAGAAGCAGUUGUGGAUAGAGGUGGAACUCGUUCUAUUCUCAAAACACACUUU
This 583-nucleotide small RNA is filed under the name Pongo abelii (Sumatran orangutan). Its description in RNAcentral is "processed transcript". Lineage: Eukaryota; Metazoa; Chordata; Mammalia; Primates; Hominidae. The record is from RNAcentral.